RNAcentral lists this ribosomal RNA (423 nucleotides) under uncultured bacterium. RNAcentral's name for it is "bacterial SSU rRNA". It matches the Rfam family "Bacterial small subunit ribosomal RNA", at positions 28 to 447 of the family's 1533-position model. The record is from RNAcentral.
GAUGAACGCUAGCGGCAGGCUUAACACAUGCAAGUCGAGGGGCAGCGUGGAGCAGCAAUGCUCUGACGGCGACCGGCGGAAGGGUGCGUAACACGUGAGCGACUUGCCCGUCACAGGGGGAUAACCGGCGGAAACGGCGACUAAUACCCCAUACGAUGCGAUGCUGCAUGGCAUUGCAUUGAAAGAUUCAUCGGUGGCGGAUAGGCUCGCGGGACAUUAGCUAGACGGCGGGGCAACGGCCCACCGUGGCGACGAUGUCUAGGGGUUCUGAGAGGAAGGCCCCCCACACUGGGACUGAGACACGGCCCAAACUCCUACGGGAGGCAGCAGUGGGGAAUAUUGCACAAUGGGGGAAACCCUGAUGCAGCGACGCCGCGUGAGCGAAGAAGUAUUUCGGUAUGUAAAACUCUAUCAGCAGGGAAG